RNAcentral lists this ribosomal RNA (800 nucleotides) under uncultured bacterium. Its description in RNAcentral is "bacterial SSU rRNA". It matches the Rfam family "Bacterial small subunit ribosomal RNA", at positions 8 to 854 of the family's 1533-position model. The record is from RNAcentral.
AGAGUUUGAUCCUGGCUCAGAGCGAACGCUGGCGGCAGGCUUAACACAUGCAAGUCGAGCGGGCGUAGCAAUACGUCAGCGGCAGACGGGUGAGUAACGCGUGGGAACGUACCUUUUGGUUCGGAACAACACAGGGAAACUUGUGCUAAUACCGGAUAAGCCCUUACGGGGAAAGAUUUAUCGCCGAAAGAUCGGCCCGCGUCUGAUUAGCUAGUUGGUGAGGUAACGGCUCACCAAGGCGACGAUCAGUAGCUGGUCUGAGAGGAUGAUCAGCCACAUUGGGACUGAGACACGGCCCAAACUCCUACGGGAGGCAGCAGUGGGGAAUAUUGGACAAUGGGCGCAAGCCUGAUCCAGCCAUGCCGCGUGAGUGAUGAAGGCCCUAGGGUUGUAAAGCUCUUUUGUGCGGGAAGAUAAUGACGGUACCGCAAGAAUAAGCCCCGGCUAACUUCGUGCCAGCAGCCGCGGUAAUACGAAGGGGGCUAGCGUUGCUCGGAAUCACUGGGCGUAAAGGGUGCGUAGGCGGGUCUUUAAGUCAGGGGUGAAAUCCUGGAGCUCAACUCCAGAACUGCCUUUGAUACUGAAGAUCUUGAGUUCGGGAGAGGUGAGUGGAACUGCGAGUGUAGAGGUGAAAUUCGUAGAUAUUCGCAAGAACACCAGUGGCGUAGGCGGCUCACUGGCCCGAUACUGACGCUGAGGCACGAAAGCGUGGGGAGCAACAGGAUUAGAUACCCUGGUAGUCCACGCCGUAAACGAUGAAUGCCAGCCGUUAGUGGGUUUACUCACUAGUGGCGCAGCUA